GAUGAACGCUAGCGACAGGCUUAACACAUGCAAGUCGAGGGGCAGCACAGGUAGCAAUACCGGGUGGCGACCGGAGCACGGGUGAGUAACGCGUAUGCAACUUACCUAUCAGAGGGGGAUAACCCGGCGAAAGUCGGAAUAAUACCGCAUGAAGCAGGGGUCCCGGGUGGGGGUAGUUGCUAAAGAUUCAUCGGUGAUAGAUAGGCGUGCGUUCCAUUAGGCAGUUGGCGGGGGAACGGCCAACCAAACCGACGAUGGAUAGGGGUUCUGGGGGGAAGGUCCCCCGCAGGGGUACGGCGACACGGACCAAGCGCCUACGGGCGGCAGCAGUGGGGAAGAUGGGGCAAUGACCGAGAGACUGAACGAGCCAAGCCGCGUGAGGGAUGCAGGGUCUAGGGAUAGUAACCCUCUUUUAUAAGGCAAUAUCGCGCAGGACGUGUCCCGGUUUGUCUGUACCUGAUGAAUAAGGACCGGCUAACUCCGUG
This 485-nucleotide ribosomal RNA is filed under the name uncultured bacterium. RNAcentral's name for it is "partial 16S ribosomal RNA". It matches the Rfam family "Bacterial small subunit ribosomal RNA", at positions 28 to 507 of the family's 1533-position model. The record is from RNAcentral.